CUAUCUCUUUUCAAUGUCUCCUACUCUACACAUAAAGAGUGGGGGGAUCGUUAAAAAACAAAAUGUCGGGUAUUGUACUAAAGCUACUAAAGCUCUCGAGUCCGGCAAAAAUACGUAUUCAACAAAACUUAAAAGAAAGAAUGCGAAAUAAAUUGUUACAGAUUUUUGAUGCAGUGAGAUAGAGAACAAACUAACGGACAUGAAUAAAAUAUUUAUUCCACGUCUAUCGGUAUCAAAAAAUUUCCAGUAUAUUAUUUUCAUUCAAUAUAUUCUAUCCGAAUAAAAUUUUAUUUGCGUGGUUUUUGCACUCUUAUAGCAAAAUAAUAUGACCGAAUUAUUGUUUGCUGUCAAGUUCGUUGAUGACACCUGCCAGUUGUCAGUAAGAAAGGUAUCUCGAUUUUUCAAUUUUUUAAAAAUAAAUAUCCAUAAAAAUGGUUAUUUUUAAUUCUAAAAAUAUGCGUCAUUGUAUUAAAUAUUGCAUACUUAUUAACAGCAGCUCCUAAAUUAUUAGUAUAUAAUAAACGUAUAUUUGUUCAAAAUAAACUUAUAAUUUAUAAGUAUUACUUUAAAAAAAUACUAAUUAAAUAUACUUGAUCAUAAAUAUCAUCCUAUACGUUACUUAUUUACUAUAAAUUAAUUUUAUCUGUAUUUAUUAAACUGGUCUCUCGAUAAAUUGUUCAAAUUUCGCGCCCAUGAAGCCGCCAUUUUUUCUCGAGUAGCGGGAACAGGAGAAAGUGUCCGUUUAAAAACAAAGUCAGAUGACUAAUUACAAUAUUAAAAAAUGGCUUGCAGGCACACCGUCAAAAGUAAAAAUUUCAGAAGUAUACCAACUUCAGAAACUCACAGCUAUGAAUGUAAAAAAUAAAGAUGGUUCAUAAUUCAGAAUGACAAAUUAUCACCUUGUCAAAAACAUCGAAUCUCUAAUCUUUAUAUCAGCACAUACUCAGAAUUUACAAUAUUUAUUCUUUCGUAAUAAAGAAUUAACAAUAUUUAGAAUGACAAUAUUUCAGAAAUCCAAUACUUCCGAAAUUUCAAACUACGAACGCCAAUUCUUCAGAAUUACAUUUUAUACGAAUGACCAUUUUAGUAAAAUUUUUUAAGCUUUGCUGACAGUCGGUAUUACAGACUUUCCCUAUGAAUUUACCAUUAUCAUGUGAGUGCUUUGGCGGAUUGAUUGUGUUUAAAAAAUUUGUAUGAAUCGUUGUGUGUAAUAAUUAUAUAUGAAUUUAACGAGUUUCAUUUGUAUGAAACGAUUCAAGUGAAUGUACUUAAUUAAGUUAGAAGUGCUAUUUGUGGCCAGUGUUUUAUUUUUAGACCUUUAAUAUUUUAUUUUUAUUAAUGGAGAAGUAUAAAAAAAAAAAAAAUUUCAUUCUAAUACAGUAAAAAAAAUGCCCUUUCAAUGAAUUAAAAAAAAUUCAUUAUAUCAUUACCUACCUUGCGUAUUAUUUUAUUAAAAUUUUUGAAGUAACCAAAACUAUUGCAACCAAAUAUAUUGCAAUUAUAUAGAAUUGUAUAUAAUUAUAUAGACUUGUAUACAUUUUGUAUAAAAUUGUAUACCAUUUUUAUACAGUUGUAUACAAUGGGAUCGGGCCAUUUUUUGUAUAUAAUUUUAUACAAUUGUAUAAAAUCUUUUUUCAUCGGGUAUUAUUAAAACUGAAUUAUUAUAUUUUAAUUAUCAUCAAAUCUUAAUUAUUAUCAUAUCAUAAUGAUUAUAUAUCAUAUAUCUAAUAUUAUAAUCUAAUAUAAAAUAGAUUUUCAAAUUUCCCGCGAAAUUAAAUGAUCAUUUUUUUUAUUUAAUAAAAUUUUUGUUGACAUUAAAAACAAAAAUUAUUAAUUUAAAAAAUAAUUUUUUGUAAAAUUUCAAAUUUUUUGCCGCCAUUUUCAUAACCUCGAAAAUAAACGAGUUUAAUAAGUAAAAAAUUAAUAAAAGAUUUUCAAUUUUGUCUUGAAAAGUUUAAUUUUUUAUUUUAUACUUUUGAAUUUUCUUAUAAUUAAAUUUUUAAUUGAUGAUUUUCAAUGGUACUUUGGUGUAUGAAUAAUGAAUAUCGACUUUAAUCAAUCGAUGACCAAUCUUUAGUUUCUUUAUCGAUUGUCAAUAUUUAUCAAUCGAUAUGUAGGAUUUUUAAAUGAUCCUGAAUUCAACAAACAGUUAACAAUUUUUAAAUUUUAUUUUCAACUAAUCAAUUACAAAAAAUUAAAAAACUAUAUAUACAUAUGUAAAAAGUUUAAAAAACUAUAAGUUCAGUUUUUGAAAAUAUUUUUUUUUUAUAAUUUAUCGUUUUUAAUGUAUUAUAUGUCAGCUUAAGCAAUUACUUCAGUGUCAUAUUUUUAAUUGAG
Long non-coding RNA from Microplitis mediator, 2337 nucleotides. RefSeq lists it as uncharacterized. The record is from RefSeq and is a predicted model, not a curated record. The transcript is spliced from 3 exons. Lineage: Eukaryota; Metazoa; Arthropoda; Insecta; Hymenoptera; Braconidae.